ACCUUCACCAUUUCCUUCACCUACAGCACCGGUAACACCUUCUCCAUCACCUUCUACGCCUUCACCAUUUCCUUCACCUACAACACCGGUAACACCACCUUCACCCUCACAUUCCCCUCCAUCACCUUCUACGCCUUCACCUACAACACCGGUUACACCUUCUCCCUCACAUUCACCUCCAUCACCUGCUACACCUUCACCAUUUCCUUCACCUACAACACCGGUAACACCUUCACCCUCACAUUCCCCUCCAUCACCUGCUACACCUUCACCAUUUCCUUCACCUACAACACCGGUAACACCUUCACCCUCACAUUCCCCUCCGUCACCUGCUACACCUACAACACCGGUAACACCUUCACCUUCACAUUCCCCUCCGUCACCUGCUACACCUUCACCAUUUCCUUCACCUACAACACCGGUAACACCUUCACCUUCACAUUCCCCUCCGUCACCUGCUACACCUUCACCAUUUCCUUCACCUACAACUCCUGUAACACCUUCACCUCCAUCGCCUUCUACUCCUUCACCCUUUCCUUCACCUACGACACCUGUGACACCUUCACCUGUUCAUAGUCCUCCUUCUCCAGUGUAUUUGCCACCGCCACAUU
RNAcentral lists this long non-coding RNA (611 nucleotides) under Glycine max (soybean). Its description in RNAcentral is "long non-coding RNA (GMAX_LNC001644)". The record is from RNAcentral. Lineage: Eukaryota; Viridiplantae; Streptophyta; Magnoliopsida; Fabales; Fabaceae.